AUGAUCUCCCCUCUUUCCUCACGGGGGAUCUCAAUUUCUCCAUUCUUCACCUCCGUUUUCUGCUUCGGAUCCUCCAAGAACAGCUGGUACAACCGCUUCCUGAUAACAAUCGGUUUUUGGUUUUAUGAUAAUUUUCACACUGUGGUUUAAUUAAGUCGAUUCGUUUGUAAAUUUUGGGGAUUAGAUCUUUAUGGGUAUUGGAUCGAACCGGAUUUCAAUACCGUUGCCACUCUUUCCUGCCAAAAGUCUUUGGUAGAAGGUGCAGUUGCAGAAAUGUGGGGAAGUAAUGUGCGGUGGCGUAUGGUGGUGGUAUGCGGUGGCGUAUGGUGGUGGAGUGGUGAGCCCAGUAAAUUUGUGUGACGGAGAUGAGCUUGAGUUCCCAUUAGUGUCAUGAGAGACACAAACAUGUAUGUGUGUACCAGAGGAUAAUAUGGAAUUUAUAGAUAUGAAUGUUCAUGUUAAGUGCCUAAUUUUGGGGAU
This 480-nucleotide long non-coding RNA is filed under the name Helianthus annuus (common sunflower). Lineage: Eukaryota; Viridiplantae; Streptophyta; Magnoliopsida; Asterales; Asteraceae. The record is from RNAcentral.